AGUGAACGCUGGCGGUAGGCCUAACACAUGCAAGUCGAACGGCAGCACAGUAAGAGCUUGCUCUUACGGGUGGCGAGUGGCGGACGGGAGAGGAAUACAUCGGAAUCUACUCUUUCGUGGGGGAUAACGUAGGGAAACUUACUCUAAUACCGCAUACGACCUACGGGUGAAAGCAGGGGAUCUUCGGACCUUGCGCGAUUGAACGAGCCGAUGUCGGAGUAGCUAGUUGGCGGGGUAAAGGCCAACCAAGUCGACUAUCCGUAGCUGGUGUGAGAGGAGGGUCGGCGACACUGGAACUGAGACACGGACCAGGCUCCUGCGGGACGCAGCAGUGUGGAAUAGUGGGCAAUAGUGGCGAGCCUGGUCCAGCCAUACCGCGUGGGUGAAGAAGGCCUUCGGGUUGUGAAGCCGUUUUGUUGGGUAAGAAAAGCAUCAGGUUGUGACCCCGCUGUUCUGACGGUACUCAAAGAAGAAGCACCGGCUAACUACGUG
RNAcentral lists this ribosomal RNA (492 nucleotides) under uncultured bacterium. RNAcentral describes it as "partial 16S ribosomal RNA". It matches the Rfam family "Bacterial small subunit ribosomal RNA", at positions 29 to 507 of the family's 1533-position model. The record is from RNAcentral.